RNAcentral lists this microRNA (23 nucleotides) under Drosophila erecta. Its description in RNAcentral is "der-miR-312-5p". Its record names the gene der-miR-312-5p. Lineage: Eukaryota; Metazoa; Arthropoda; Insecta; Diptera; Drosophilidae. The record is from miRBase by way of RNAcentral.
CGGUUCGUACCAGGAGCAAUUCU